RNAcentral lists this long non-coding RNA (211 nucleotides) under Vigna radiata. RNAcentral's name for it is "long non-coding RNA (VRAD_LNC018141)". The record is from RNAcentral. Lineage: Eukaryota; Viridiplantae; Streptophyta; Magnoliopsida; Fabales; Fabaceae.
GAAAAUUGAAAAGAAAAAGCAUUGAGCUAAGCAGUGAGUACGUGAAAAGAAAAACCAAAAGAAAAAAGAAAAAUAAAAAGAAAAGAAAAUCUCAAUGCAAGGGAAAGUUGGGAAAAAGAAAGUAGAGUUUGUGCUUGAAUGAUGAAAUCAUAAAUGUCUCUCUUAACUCAAGGAUUUUGCUGAUUAGAAAAACCAAUUUCGUUCUUAGCCC